AUGACGAGCCAUUCCAUGCUGGUCCGACCUGGCCCAAGUCCCAACAUAGUGCACGCAGCCAUCAGCAUCAGUGUUGAUGGUACUGUUUGUGAAGACCAGGAAGAGCUUGGCCAGGAUGAUCCUAAGUUGUGGUUGUUCAAUCUGAUCGAAGUAGCAUCACAUGCGGAAGUUGUGAAGGUCCUGGUAAAACUAUGGUCCAUUUGGUGGGCUCACCGGAAAGUGAUUCAUGAGCAACAAUUUCAGAGUUCGCUAUCGAUGUUCUCCUUUAUCCAGCGUUUUUUGUCAGAGCUUGGAGGGCUACCAGUCAAGAAGUCUGACCAGCCCAGCCAACCUCGUAGGCCUGCCCGGGGCGGCUGGCAAGCUCUUGCUGCUGUGGGAAGUGCCAAAAUUUAUGCCGACGGAGGUCUUACACAUCCAGCGACACUUGAAGCCAUUGCAUGCAGUGAGGCAAUGUCGCUAGCUCUUGAUCUAAACCUCUCACGGUUACAAAUUGCUACGGAUUGUCUACAAGUGGUUCGCAACAUCGAGGAGGAUAACCCAUACAGUUAUGCGGUGAUCAUCAAGGAGAUUCUCGCGAAAAAGGCGUUGUUCCAGGAGUGCCACCGUGAGGGUAUUGAUGCGCUAGACAUGAAUCAUGUGCACACGAGUGGCACCAACGAAUGCUACCAUGCGUUGUAUGAUAGCUUGUUGGUUGAUGACAUAAACAUUUUACCAACAAGACUAACAUACAACCUGUUGGAAAUGCCCUUAGGCAGCGUCCGACGUGUCCCCAACUCAGACAAAUAUCAGCCACAAACAAAAUUUGGUGGAUCGCACUGCCCGCUGAGCUGGCUAGCCUACCAGCCAAGUUAA
This 852-nucleotide ribosomal RNA is filed under the name Triticum aestivum (bread wheat). RNAcentral describes it as "partial small subunit ribosomal RNA". The record is from RNAcentral. Lineage: Eukaryota; Viridiplantae; Streptophyta; Magnoliopsida; Poales; Poaceae.